UUAGUGGCGAACGGGUGAGUAACACGUGGGCAAUCUGCCCUUCACUCUGGGACAAGCCCUGGAAACGGGGUCUAAUACCGGAUAACACUCUGUCCUGCAUGGGACGGGGUUGAAAGCUCCGGCGGUGAAGGAUGAGCCCGCGGCCUAUCAGCUUGUUGGUGGGGUAAUGGCCUACCAAGGCGACGACGGGUAGCCGGCCUGAGAGGGCGACCGGCCACACUGGGACUGAGACACGGCCCAGACUCCUACGGGAGGCAGCAGUGGGGAAUAUUGCACAAUGGGCGAAAGCCUGAUGCAGCGACGCCGCGUGAGGGAUGACGGCCUUCGGGUUGUAAACCUCUUUCAGCAGGGAAGAAGCGCAAGUGACGGUACCUGCAGAAGAAGCGCCGGCUAACUACGUGCCAGCAGCCGCGGUAAUACGUAGGGCGCAAGCGUUGUCCGGAAUUAUUGGGCGUAAAGAGCUCGUAGGCGGCUUGUCACGUCGGAUGUGAAAGCCCGGGGCUUAACCCCGGGUCUGCAUUCGAUACGGGCUAGCUAGAGUGUGGUAGGGGAGAUCGGAAUUCCUGGUGUAGCGGUGAAAUGCGCAGAUAUCAGGAGGAACACCGGUGGCGAAGGCGGAUCUCUGGGCCAUUACUGACGCUGAGGAGCGAAAGCGUGGGGAGCGAACAGGAUUAGAUACCCUGGUAGUCCACGCCGUAAACGUUGGGAACUAGGUGUUGGCGACAUUCCACGUCGUCGGUGCCGCAGCUAACGCAUUA
This 758-nucleotide ribosomal RNA is filed under the name Streptomyces sp. HUST001. RNAcentral's name for it is "bacterial SSU rRNA". It matches the Rfam family "Bacterial small subunit ribosomal RNA", at positions 92 to 862 of the family's 1533-position model. The record is from RNAcentral. Lineage: Bacteria; Bacillati; Actinomycetota; Actinomycetes; Kitasatosporales; Streptomycetaceae.